RNAcentral lists this ribosomal RNA (253 nucleotides) under uncultured bacterium. RNAcentral describes it as "partial 16S ribosomal RNA". It matches the Rfam family "Bacterial small subunit ribosomal RNA", at positions 524 to 776 of the family's 1533-position model. The record is from RNAcentral.
UACGUAGGGGGCAAGCGUUGUCCGGAAUUAUUGGGCGUAAAGAGCGUGUAGGCGGCCAGAUAAGUCCGCUGUGAAAUCUCGAGGCUCAACUUCGAGCUGUCGGUGGAAACUAUCUGGCUAGAGUCCGGAAGAGGAGAAUGGAAUUCCUGGUGUAGCGGUGAAAUGCGCAGAUAUCAUUUGGAACGCCAAUGGUGAAAACAGGUAGCUGGGGAUGUGCUGACGCUGAGACACGAAAGCCAGGGGAGCAAACGGG